Lycium ferocissimum is the source of this 689-nucleotide long non-coding RNA. RefSeq lists it as uncharacterized. Lineage: Eukaryota; Viridiplantae; Streptophyta; Magnoliopsida; Solanales; Solanaceae. The transcript is spliced from 5 exons. The record is from RefSeq and is a predicted model, not a curated record.
AUAGGAGAAUGUGUUGUUAUCAGCACUUCCUUGACUGAGAAUCAAGAAUAAAGACAGGGUGGGAAGACGACAUUGCAAAGAUUGCUAAAAACAUAAUUGAAGAACAAAGCCCAGAGCAGCUAUACGUUAUUCGUGGGAAAUUGCAGAACUUGAUAGAGCACAAUGUAUCUGCUGAGUUCAUCUUUAAUACAGUGGUUGAAGAACUAAAGAGUAAUUUGGAUGACCAAUUCCACAAAGAAAUGGACACUCUGAAAAUGAAGUACAGUAUAAAUUACAAUGAUCUCGAACAGGGUAAGAGUGACAAUGAUGCAGUGAAAAAGAUUGUUCACAAAUUUAUGAAGAUUGAAGAGUUCAUAGCUAAAUUCAUGAGCUGGUAUAAGACUUCUGUUCUGACGAAAUGAUAUUACAACCCCAUCCUCUCCACAGGUGGUGUUUAGUUUGGAAACAAUUUCCAUUUGAGUGGUAAAGAAUUUAAUGUACUUAAGAGUACUUUUGCGAACAAGCUUGUUAAUAAUUUCGUAUUUCAUUUGUAAAAUAAAGUGGCAAUCUAGCCGAAUCAUACAUUUUAUGUGCUUAAGAAAUUCUAUCUCCUGUAGAAUUAUGUAAGAUAAAUAAAAAGGCACUAAAGAGGUGUAUGCUUUCAUUGUAUUGGAAGGGUACUUCUAAAACUAAUACACCAUAUUUGACAC